RNAcentral lists this ribosomal RNA (600 nucleotides) under Nocardiopsis sp. YIM M10998. RNAcentral describes it as "bacterial SSU rRNA". It matches the Rfam family "Bacterial small subunit ribosomal RNA", at positions 81 to 681 of the family's 1533-position model. The record is from RNAcentral. Lineage: Bacteria; Bacillati; Actinomycetota; Actinomycetes; Streptosporangiales; Nocardiopsidaceae.
UUCGGGGUACACGAGCGGCGAACGGGUGAGUAACACGUGAGCAACCUGCCCCUGACUCCGGGAUAAGCGGUGGAAACGCCGUCUAAUACCGGAUACGACCCGCCACCUCAUGGUGGAGGGUGGAAAGUUUUAUCGGUCAGGGAUGGGCUCGCGGCCUAUCAGCUUGUUGGUGGGGUAACGGCCUACCAAGGCGAUUACGGGUAGCCGGCCUGAGAGGGCGACCGGCCACACUGGGACUGAGACACGGCCCAGACUCCUGCGGGAGGCAGCAGUGGGGAAUAUUGCACAAUGGGCGAAAGCCUGAUGCAGCGACGCCGCGUGGGGGAUGACGGCCUUCGGGUUGUAAACCUCUUUUACCACCAACGCAGGCUCCACGUUCUCGUGGGGUUGACGGUAGGUGGGGAAUAAGGACCGGCUAACUACGUGCCAGCAGCCGCGGUAAUACGUAGGGUCCGAGCGUUGUCCGGAAUUAUUGGGCGUAAAGAGCUCGUAGGCGGCAUGUCGCGUCUGCUGUGAAAGACCGGGGCUUAACUCCGGUUCUGCAGUGGAUACGGGCAUGCUAGAGGUAGGUAGGGGAAACUGGAAUUCCUGGUGUAGCGG